This 804-nucleotide ribosomal RNA is filed under the name Comoclathris acuminata. Its description in RNAcentral is "partial large subunit ribosomal RNA". The record is from RNAcentral. Lineage: Eukaryota; Fungi; Ascomycota; Dothideomycetes; Pleosporales; Pleosporaceae.
CAUCAGCUCAAAUUUGAAAUCUGGCUCUUUUAGGGUCCGAGUUGUAAUUUGCAGAGGGCGCUUUGGCAUAGAUUCAAGUUCCUUGGAACAGGACGUCACAGAGGGUGAGAAUCCCGUACGUGGUCGCUAGCUCUUGCCGUGUAAAGCCCCUUCGACGAGUCGAGUUGUUUGGGAAUGCAGCUCUAAAUGGGAGGUAAAUUUCUUCUAAAGCUAAAUAUUGGCCAGAGACCGAUAGCGCACAAGUAGAGUGAUCGAAAGAUGAAAAGUACUUUGGAAAGAGAGUCAAAAAGCACGUGAAAUUGUUGAAAGGGAAGCGCUUGCAGCCAGACUUGCCUGUAGUUGCUCAUCCGGGCUCUUGCCCGGUGCACUCUUCUGUAGGCAGGCCAGCAUCAGUUUGGGCGGUUGGAUAAAGGUCUCUGUCAUGUACCUCUCUUCGGGGAGGCCUUAUAGGGGAGACGACAUACAACCAGCCUGGACUGAGGUCCGCGCAUUCGUGCUAGGAUGCUGGCGUAAUGGCUGUAAGCGGCCCGUCUUGAAACACGGACCAAGGAGUCUAACAUCUAUGCGAGUGUUUGGGUGUCAAGCCCGAGCGCGUAAUGAAAGUGAACGGAGGUGGGAACCCUUUUGGGUGCACCAUCGACCGAUCCUGAUGUCUUCGGAAGGAUUUGAGUAAGAGCAUGGCUGUUGGGACCCGAAAGAUGGUGAACUAUGCUUGAAUAGGGUGAAGCCAGAGGAAACUCUGGUGGAGGCUSGCAGCGGUUCUGACGUGCAAAUCGAUCGUCAAAUUUGGGCAUAGGGGCGAAA